This 471-nucleotide ribosomal RNA is filed under the name Camaenidae sp. SN5. RNAcentral's name for it is "partial 12S ribosomal RNA". Lineage: Eukaryota; Metazoa; Mollusca; Gastropoda; Stylommatophora; Camaenidae. The record is from RNAcentral.
GUCAAACUUCUACAAAAUAAAAUGAUUUUAGCAGAGUUUGCACAUUUAUUUUGUCGCGGUGAAAUGUUUUAUAAAACCAUAUUAGUGCUAUUUUAACCAAACAUUACUAAUAAACAAGGAUUAGAUACCCUUCUAUACAAUGCCCAUUUUUCUUUGCAGAGCACUAAAACCUUAAGGUUAAAACUCARACAUCAUGGCGGUAAUCUUAGCCCUUAGGGGGACUUACCAAAUAAUUGAUAACCACCAAGGUAAAUCAACUUCAAAAAACUCUUGUAUGCCGUCGUCGUCAGGUAAUACUUCUAGUCUUACCGUAUUAAUAUAUUUAAAAAGACAGAUCAAGGUGCAGACAAUUUUGACGGUUCGGCGAGUUACAUUUAACUAAUUAACCGACAACUUUUCGUACAAAAGUUUGAAGAAGGACUUAAUAGUAAUUUAUAUAAUCAACAAUAUGUGAAUUUAAUAAGAUAGUGC